This 492-nucleotide ribosomal RNA is filed under the name uncultured Anaerolineaceae bacterium. Its description in RNAcentral is "bacterial SSU rRNA". It matches the Rfam family "Bacterial small subunit ribosomal RNA", at positions 891 to 1382 of the family's 1533-position model. The record is from RNAcentral. Lineage: Bacteria; Bacillati; Chloroflexota; Anaerolineae; Anaerolineales; Anaerolineaceae.
GCUCAGAAACUCCAAUGAAUUGACGGGACCCGCACAAGCAGCGGAGCAUGUGGUUUAAUUCGAAGCAACGCGAAGAACCUUACCAGAUCUUGACAUCCAAUUGACCAUCUUUUAAUCGAGAUUUUGCCUUCGGGUACAAUUGAGACAGGUGGUGCAUGGUUGUCGUCAGCUCGUGUCGUGAGAUGUUGGGUUAAGUCCCGCAACGAGCGCAACCCCUACCUUUAGUUGCCAUCAGGUUAAGCUGGGGACUCUAAAGGAACUGCCUACGCAAGUAGUGAGGAAGGCGGGGAUGACGUCAAAUCAGCACGGCCCUUACGUCCAGGGCUACACACGUGCUACAAUGGCCGAUACAGAGGGCAGCUACCUGGUGACAGGAUGCAAAUCUCCAAAGUCGGUCUCAGUUCGGAUCGGAGUCUGCAACCCGACUCCGUGAAGUUGGAUUCGCUAGUAAUCGUGAAUCAGAAUGUCACGGUGAAUACGUUCCCGGGCCUU